This 254-nucleotide ribosomal RNA is filed under the name uncultured bacterium. Its description in RNAcentral is "partial 16S ribosomal RNA". It matches the Rfam family "Bacterial small subunit ribosomal RNA", at positions 524 to 776 of the family's 1533-position model. The record is from RNAcentral.
UACGUAGGGUGCGAGCGUUGUCCGGAAUUACUGGGUGUAAAGAGUUCGUAGGCCGUUUGUCGCGCCGUUUGUGAAAUUCCGGGGCUUAACUCCGGGAGUGCAGGCGAUACGGGCAUAACUUGAGUACUGUAGGGGAGACUGGAAUUCCUGGUGUAGCGGUGAAAUGCGCAGAUAUCAGGAGGAACACCGAUGGCGAAGGCGGGUCUCUGGGCUGUAACUGACGCUGAGGCUCGAAAGCGUGGGGAGCGAACAGG